GACGAACGCUGGCGGCGUGCUUAACACAUGCAAGUCGAACGGAAAGGCCCUGCUUUUGUGGGGUGCUCGAGUGGCGAACGGGUGAGUAACACGUGAGUAACCUGCCCUUGACUUUGGGAUAACUUCAGGAAACUGGGGCUAAUACCGGAUAGGAGCUCCUGUUGCAUGGUGGGGGUUGGAAAUUUUCGGCGGUUGGGGAUGGACUCGCGGCUUAUCAGCUUGUUGGUGGGGUAGUGGCUUACCAAGGCUUUGACGGGUACCCGGCCUGAGAGGGUGACCGGGCACAUUGGGACUGAGGUACGGCCCAGACUCCUACGGGAGGCAGCAGUGGGGAAUAUUGCACAAUGGGCGGAAGCCUGAUGCAGCAACGCCGCGUGCGGGAUGACGGCCUUCGGGUUGAAAACCGCUUUCGCCUGUGACGAAGCGUGAGUGACGGUAAUGGGUAAAGAAGCACCGGCUAACUACGUG
RNAcentral lists this ribosomal RNA (468 nucleotides) under uncultured bacterium. Its description in RNAcentral is "partial 16S ribosomal RNA". It matches the Rfam family "Bacterial small subunit ribosomal RNA", at positions 28 to 507 of the family's 1533-position model. The record is from RNAcentral.